Molecule: ribosomal RNA, 505 nt
Filed under: uncultured bacterium
Lineage: Bacteria
Description: bacterial SSU rRNA
Rfam family: Bacterial small subunit ribosomal RNA
Source: RNAcentral
GAUCAUGGCUCAGGAUGAACGCUAGCUACAGGCUUAACACAUGCAAGUCGAGGGGAAACGACAUCGAAAGCUUGCUUUUGAUGGGCGUCGACCGGCGCACGGGUGAGUAACGCGUAUCCAACCUGCCCACCACUUGGGGAUAACCUUGCGAAAGUAAGACUAAUACCCAAUGAUAUCUCUAGAAGACAUCUGAAAGGGAUUAAAGAUUUAUCGGUGAUGGAUGGGGAUGCGUCUGAUUAGCUUGUUGGCGGGGUAACGGCCCACCAAGGCGACGAUCAGUAGGGGUUCUGAGAGGAAGGUCCCCCACAUUGGAACUGAGACACGGUCCAAACUCCUACGGGAGGCAGCAGUGAGGAAUAUUGGUCAAUGGGCGAGAGCCUGAACCAGCCAAGUAGCGUGCAGGAUGACGGCCCUAUGGGUUGUAAACUGCUUUUAUAAGGGAAUAAAGUGGGUCUCGUGAGACUUUUUGCAUGUACCUUAUGAAUAAGGACCGGCUAAUUCCGUG